This 614-nucleotide ribosomal RNA is filed under the name uncultured archaeon. RNAcentral describes it as "bacterial SSU rRNA". It matches the Rfam family "Archaeal small subunit ribosomal RNA", at positions 1 to 586 of the family's 1478-position model. The record is from RNAcentral.
AUUUGAAUUUAGCGGCGCGAUUCCCCCUUUUCCGGUUGUCCCGCCGGAGGCCAUUGCUAUCGGAGUCCGAUUUAGCCAUGCUAGUCGAGCGAGGUUAGCCCUCGCGGCGAACAGCUCAGUAAUACGUGGCCAAGCUACCCUGCAGAGGGGGACAGCGUCGGGAAACUGACGGGAAUCCCCCUUACCGGUCUCACGCUGGAAUGCCAAGACCGACUAACGCUCCGGCGCUGCAGGAUGCGGCUGCGGCCGAUUAGGUAGUCGGUGGGGUAACGGCCCACCGAGCCGAUAAUUGGUACGGGGUGUGAGGGCACGAGCCCGGAGACGGAAUCUGAGACAAGAUUCCGGGCCCUACGGGGCGCAGCAGGCGCGAAACCUUUACACUGCACGAAGGUGCGAUUAUGGGACUCCGAGUGCGAGGGCUUACACUCCUCGCUAUUGUGUACCGUAGGGUGGUACACGACCAAGAGCUGGGCAAGACCGGUGCCAGCCGCCGCGGUAAUACCGGCAGCUCUGGUGAUGGCCGAUUUUAUUGGGCCUAAAGCGUCCGUAGCUGGNCCUGCAAGUUCCGUCGGGAAAAUCCACUCGCCUAACGAGUGGGCGUCCGGCGGAAACUA